GUGUAGAUAAGGGAGAAGAUUGCAAAAUCAAAAAAAAAC
Molecule: small RNA, 39 nt
Filed under: Arabidopsis thaliana (thale cress)
Lineage: Eukaryota; Viridiplantae; Streptophyta; Magnoliopsida; Brassicales; Brassicaceae
Description: ATSL222850
Source: RNAcentral